GAUGAACGCUGGCGGCGUGCCUAAUACAUGCAAGUCGAGCGAACAGACGAGGAGCUUGCUCUUCUGAUGUUAGCGGCGGACGGGUGAGUAACACGUGGAUAACCUACCUAUAAGACUGGGAUAACUUCGGGAAACCGGGGCUAAUACCGGAUAACAUGUUGAACCGCAUGGUUCAACAGUGAAAGACGGUCUUGCUGUCACUUAUAGAUGGAUCCGCGCCGCAUUAGCUAGUUGGUAAGGUAACGGCUUACCAAGGCAACGAUGCGUAGCCGACCUGAGAGGGUGAUCGGCCACACUGGAACUGAGACACGGUCCAGACUCCUACGGGAGGCAGCAGUAGGGAAUCUUCCGCAAUGGGCGAAAGCCUGACGGAGCAACGCCGCGUGAGUGAAGAAGGUCUUCGGAUCGUAAAACUCUGUUAUUAGGGAAGAACAAAUGUGUAAGUAACUAUGCACGUCUUGACGGUACCUAAUCAGAAAGCCACGGCUAACUACGUG
This 497-nucleotide ribosomal RNA is filed under the name uncultured bacterium. RNAcentral's name for it is "partial 16S ribosomal RNA". It matches the Rfam family "Bacterial small subunit ribosomal RNA", at positions 28 to 507 of the family's 1533-position model. The record is from RNAcentral.